RNAcentral lists this ribosomal RNA (468 nucleotides) under uncultured bacterium. RNAcentral's name for it is "partial 16S ribosomal RNA". It matches the Rfam family "Bacterial small subunit ribosomal RNA", at positions 28 to 507 of the family's 1533-position model. The record is from RNAcentral.
GACGAACGCUGGCGGCGUGCUUAACACAUGCAAGUCGAACGGAAAGGCCCUGCUUUUGUGGGGUGCUCGAGUGGCGAACGGGUGAGUAACACGUGAGUAACCUGCCCUUGACUUUGGGAUAACUUCAGGAAACUGGGGCUAAUACCGGAUAGGAGCUCCUGCUGCAUGGUGGGGGUUGGAAAGUUUCGGCGGUUGGGGAUGGACUCGCGGCUUAUCAGCUUGUUGGUGGGGUAGUGGCUUACCAAGGCUUUGACGGGUAGCCGGCCUGAGAGGGUGACCGGCCACAUUGGGACUGAGAUACGGCCCAGACCCCUACGGGAGGCAGCAGUGGGGAAUAUUGCACAAUGGGCGGAAGCCUGAUGCAGCAACGCCGCGUGCGGGAUGACGGCCUUCGGGUUGGAAAGCGCUUUCGCCUGUGACGAAGCGUGAGUGACGGUAAUGGGUAAAGAAGCACCGGCUAACUACGUG